Molecule: ribosomal RNA, 456 nt
Filed under: uncultured bacterium
Lineage: Bacteria
Description: partial 16S ribosomal RNA
Rfam family: Bacterial small subunit ribosomal RNA
Source: RNAcentral
UGGGGAAUAUUGCACAAUGGGCGCAAGCCUGAUGCAGCCAUGCCGCGUGUGUGAAGAAGGCCUUCGGGUUGUAAAGCACUUUCAGCGAGGAGGAAGGUGGUGGACUUAAUACGUUCAUCAAUUGACGUUACUCGCAGAAGAAGCACCGGCUAACUCCGUGCCAGCAGCCGCGGUAAUACGGAGGGUGCAAACGUUAAUCGGAAUUACUGGGCGUAAAGCGCACGCAGGCGGUUUGUUAAGUCAGAUGUGAAAUCCCCGGGCUCAACCUGGGAACUGCAUUUGAAACUGGCAAGCUAGAGUCUCGUAGAGGGGGGUAGAAUUCCAGGUGUAGCGGUGAAAUGCGUAGAGAUCUGGAGGAAUACCGGUGGCGAAGGCGGCCCCCUGGACGAAGACUGACGCUCAGGUGCGAAAGCGUGGGGAGCAAACAGGAUUAGAUACCCUGGUAGUCCACGCUGU